This 328-nucleotide unclassified non-coding RNA is filed under the name plant metagenome. RNAcentral describes it as "partial contains 5.8S ribosomal RNA, internal transcribed spacer 2, and large subunit ribosomal RNA". The stretch from base 1 to 105 matches the Rfam family "5.8S ribosomal RNA", at positions 50 to 154 of the family's 154-position model. The record is from RNAcentral.
GAAAUGCGAUAAGUAAUGUGAAUUGCAGAAUUCCGUGAAUCAUCGAAUCUUUGAACGCACAUUGCGCCCUCUGGUAUUCCGGGGGGCACGCCUGUCCGAGCGUCAUUGCGAACCCCUCAAGCACGGCUUGUGUGAUGGGCCCUCCAGCGUCUUGGUCGUCAAGACGGGCCCGAAAUGCAGUGGCGGCUUCGCGGUUAUCCGAUCAGCCAGAGCGUAUGGGGACUCUCUCUCUGUCACACGCCCGCGGCGCGGACCGACGCCUGUCGACCUUUAUUCAUCUUUUCUCGGUUGACCUCGGAUCAGGUAGGGAUACCCGCUGAACUUAAGC